CCUACGGGAGGCAGCAGUGGGGGAUAUUGCACAAUGGGGGGAACCCUGAUGCAGCGACGCCGCGUGGGUGAAGGAGUGCUUCGGCAUGUAAAGCCCUAUCGGCAGGGAAGAAGCAAGACGGUACCUGACUAAGAAGCCCCGGCUAACUACGUGCCAGCAGCCGCGGUAAUACGUAGGGGGCGAGCGUUAUCCGGAUUCACUGGGUGUAAAGGGAGCGUAGACGGCCAUGCAAGCCAGGGGUGAAAGCCCGGGGCACAACCCCGGGACUGCCCUUGGAACUGUGCGGCUAGAGUGCGGGAGGGGCAGGCGGAAUGCCUGGUGUAGCGGUGAAAUGCGUAGAUAUCAGGAGGAACACCGGCGGCGAAGGCGGCCUGCUGGACCGCGACUGACGUUGAGGCUCGAAAGCAUGGGGAGCGAACAGGAUUAGAUACCCGGGUAGUC
RNAcentral lists this ribosomal RNA (441 nucleotides) under uncultured bacterium. RNAcentral describes it as "partial 16S ribosomal RNA". It matches the Rfam family "Bacterial small subunit ribosomal RNA", at positions 338 to 795 of the family's 1533-position model. The record is from RNAcentral.